RNAcentral lists this ribosomal RNA (393 nucleotides) under Triticum aestivum (bread wheat). RNAcentral describes it as "partial small subunit ribosomal RNA". Lineage: Eukaryota; Viridiplantae; Streptophyta; Magnoliopsida; Poales; Poaceae. The record is from RNAcentral.
AUGGAUCCCGCUGUCCACGACAUGAUGAAGGUUAUGCUCGCAGAGAAGGCGGCCGUGAAAGCCGAGCCGGACAUGACGGAGACUACGCCGGCGGACAAGGUGGCCGCGCAAGCGUCGGCGUCGGCGUCGGCGAAGAAGAGGACUUGGGAGGAAGCCAACGGCGGGGAGGAGGUUGCGCCUCUUUCAGUGCUGUCCAGCGUGCGCUCGCCACCGCCACAGCAUUUCUCCAGCAAGCACGGCGGAGAUACCCUCAAGGCUGCACGGGUGCUGCUCGGGAGGAAGAAGAGGACUCGGCAGGAAACCAACACGCCACUGUCCAGGGUGUGCUCGCCACCACCAGGCUUCCCCAGCAGGCUGUACGGAGGCACCACGGGCCGGGACGCUGCACGUUAG